GACGAACGCUGGCGGCGUGCCUAACACAUGCAAGUCGAGCGGGGUUGAAGCGAGGGGUAACUCGAGUUUCUACCUAGCGGCGGACGGGUGAGUAACGCGUGGGCAACCUGCCUCAAGGACUGGGAUAACAGCUCGAAAGGGCUGCUAAUACCGGAUAUGCCUGUGGCCUCGCAUGGGGCUAUGAGCAAAGGGGAAACCCGCCUUGAGAUGGGCCCGCGUCCCAUCAGCUAGUUGGUGAGGUGAAGGCUCACCAAGGCGACGACGGGUAGCCGGCCUGAGAGGGUGACCGGCCACACUGGGACUGAGACACGGCCCAGACUCCUACGGGGGCAGCAGUGGGGAAUCUUGCACAAUGGGCGAAAGCCUGAUGCAGCGACGCCGCGUGAGCGAAGAAGGCCUUCGGUUGUAAAGCUCUGUCUGGAGGGACGAAGGAAGUGACGGUACCUCCGGAGGAAGCCACGGCUAACUACGUG
RNAcentral lists this ribosomal RNA (473 nucleotides) under uncultured bacterium. RNAcentral's name for it is "bacterial SSU rRNA". It matches the Rfam family "Bacterial small subunit ribosomal RNA", at positions 28 to 507 of the family's 1533-position model. The record is from RNAcentral.